This 428-nucleotide ribosomal RNA is filed under the name uncultured bacterium. RNAcentral's name for it is "bacterial SSU rRNA". It matches the Rfam family "Bacterial small subunit ribosomal RNA", at positions 355 to 774 of the family's 1533-position model. The record is from RNAcentral.
UGGGGAAUAUUGGGCAAUGGGCGCAAGCCUGACCCAGCGACGCCGCGUGAGGGAAGAAGGCCCUCGGGUCGUAAACCUCUGUCAGGAGGGAAGAAGUGGGUUCUGGUUAACAGCCGGGGCCUUUGACGGUACCUCCAAAGGAAGCACCGGCCAACUCCGUGCCAGCAGCCGCGGUAAUACGGAGGGUGCAAGCGUUAUUCGGAAUCACUGGGCGUAAAGCGCGCGUAGGCGGCUUCGUAAGUCAGAUGUGAAAGCCCUCGGCUCAACCGAGGAAUAGCAUUUGAAACUGCGGAGCUAGAGUUCGGGAGAGGGUGGCGGAAUUCCAGGUGUAGGAGUGAAAUCCGUAGAUAUCUGGAGGAACACCAGAGGCGAAGGCGGCCACCUGGACCGAAACUGACGCUGAGGUGCGAAAGCGUGGGUAGCAAACA